UAGGGAAUCUUCGGCAAUGGACGAAAGUCUGACCGAGCAACGCCGCGUGAGUGAAGAAGGUUUUCGGAUCGUAAAACUCUGUUGUUAGAGAAGAACAAGGACGUUAGUAACUGAACGUCCCCUGACGGUAUCUAACCAGAAAGCCACGGCUAACUACGUGCCAGCAGCCGCGGUAAUACGUAGGUGGCAAGCGUUGUCCGGAUUUAUUGGGCGUAAAGCGAGCGCAGGCGGUUUCUUAAGUCUGAUGUGAAAGCCCCCGGCUCAACCGGGGAGGGUCAUUGGAAACUGGGAGACUUGAGUGCAGAAGAGGAGAGAGGAAUUCCAUGUGUAGCGGUGAAAUGCGUAGAUAUAUGGAGGAACACCAGUGGCGAAGGCGGCUCGCUGGUCUGUAACUGACGCUGAGGCUCGAAAGCGUGGGGAGUAAACAGG
This 429-nucleotide ribosomal RNA is filed under the name Gemmatimonadota bacterium. RNAcentral's name for it is "Gemmatimonadetes bacterium partial 16S ribosomal RNA". It matches the Rfam family "Bacterial small subunit ribosomal RNA", at positions 355 to 776 of the family's 1533-position model. The record is from RNAcentral. Lineage: Bacteria; Pseudomonadati; Gemmatimonadota.